This 440-nucleotide ribosomal RNA is filed under the name uncultured bacterium. RNAcentral's name for it is "partial 16S ribosomal RNA". It matches the Rfam family "Bacterial small subunit ribosomal RNA", at positions 338 to 795 of the family's 1533-position model. The record is from RNAcentral.
CCUACGGGUGGCUGCAGUGGGGAAUAUUGCACAAUGGGGGAAACCCUGAUGCAGCGACGCCGCGUGAGUGAAGAAGUCUUUCGGUAUGUAAAGCUCUAUCAGCAGGGAAGAAAAUGACGGUACCUGAUUACGUCUUCCCGGCUAAUUAGGUGCCAGCCGCCGCGGUAAUACGUAGGGGGCAAGCGUUAUCCGGAUUUACUGGGUGUAAAGGGAGCGUAGACGGUGAUGCAAGUCAGAAGUGAAAUCCCGGGGCUCAACGCCGGGACUGCAGUUGAAACUGUGUGACUGGAGUGCAGGAGAGGUAAGCGGAAUUCCUGGUGUAGCGGUGAAAUGCGUAGAUAUCAGGAGGAACACCAGUGGCGAAGGCGGCUUACUGGACUGUAACUGACGUUGAGGCUCGAAAGCGUGGGGAGCAAACAGGAUUAGAUACCCGUGUAGUC